This 2889-nucleotide ribosomal RNA is filed under the name Klebsiella pneumoniae. Its description in RNAcentral is "23S ribosomal RNA". It matches the Rfam family "Bacterial large subunit ribosomal RNA". Lineage: Bacteria; Pseudomonadati; Pseudomonadota; Gammaproteobacteria; Enterobacterales; Enterobacteriaceae. The record is from RNAcentral.
UUAAGCGACUAAGCGUACACGGUGGAUGCCCUGGCAGUCAGAGGCGAUGAAGGACGUGCUAAUCUGCGAAAAGCGUCGGUAAGGUGAUAUGAACCGUUAUAACCGGCGAUGUCCGAAUGGGGAAACCCAGUGCAAUUCGUUGCACUAUCGUUAACUGAAUACAUAGGUUAACGAGGCGAACCGGGGGAACUGAAACAUCUAAGUACCCCGAGGAAAAGAAAUCAACCGAGAUUCCCCCAGUAGCGGCGAGCGAACGGGGAGCAGCCCAGAGUCUGAAUCAGCUUGUGUGUUAGUGGAACGGUCUGGAAAGUCCGACGGUACAGGGUGAUAGUCCCGUACACCAAAAUGCACAGGCUGUGAACUCGAAGAGUAGGGCGGGACACGUGGUAUCCUGUCUGAAUAUGGGGGGACCAUCCUCCAAGGCUAAAUACUCCUGACUGACCGAUAGUGAACCAGUACCGUGAGGGAAAGGCGAAAAGAACCCCGGCGAGGGGAGUGAAAAAGAACCUGAAACCGUGUACGUACAAGCAGUGGGAGCACCUUCGGGUGUGACUGCGUACCUUUUGUAUAAUGGGUCAGCGACUUAUAUUCUGUAGCAAGGUUAACCGUAUAGGGGAGCCGCAGGGAAACCGAGUCUUAACUGGGCGUUAAGUUGCAGGGUAUAGACCCGAAACCCGGUGAUCUAGCCAUGGGCAGGUUGAAGGUUGGGUAACACUAACUGGAGGACCGAACCGACUAAUGUUGAAAAAUUAGCGGAUGACUUGUGGCUGGGGGUGAAAGGCCAAUCAAACCGGGAGAUAGCUGGUUCUCCCCGAAAGCUAUUUAGGUAGCGCCUCGUGAAUUCAUCUUCGGGGGUAGAGCACUGUUUCGGCUAGGGGGUCAUCCCGACUUACCAACCCGAUGCAAACUACGAAUACCGAAGAAUGUUAUCACGGGAGACACACGGCGGGUGCUAACGUCCGUCGUGAAGAGGGAAACAACCCAGACCGCCAGCUAAGGUCCCAAAGUCAUGGUUAAGUGGGAAACGAUGUGGGAAGGCACAGACAGCCAGGAUGUUGGCUUAGAAGCAGCCAUCAUUUAAAGAAAGCGUAAUAGCUCACUGGUCGAGUCGGCCUGCGCGGAAGAUGUAACGGGGCUAAACCAUGCACCGAAGCUGCGGCAGCGACACUAUGUGUUGUUGGGUAGGGGAGCGUUCUGUAAGCCUGCGAAGGUGNUGCUGGAGGUAUCAGAAGUGCGAAUGCUGACAUAAGUAACGAUAAAGCGGGUGAAAAGCCCGCUCGCCGGAAGACCAAGGGUUCCUGUCCAACGUUAAUCGGGGCAGGGUGAGUCGACCCCUAAGGCGAGGCCGAAAGGCGUAGUCGAUGGGAAACAGGUUAAUAUUCCUGUACUUGGUGUUACUGCGAAGGGGGGACGGAGAAGGCUAUGUUAGCCGGGCGACGGUUGUCCCGGUUUAAGCAUGUAGGCUGAUUGUCCAGGCAAAUCCGGAUAAUCAAGGCUGAGGUGUGAUGACGAGGCACUACGGUGCUGAAGUAACAAAUGCCCUGCUUCCAGGAAAAGCCUCUAAGCAUCAGGUAACAUCAAAUCGUACCCCAAACCGACACAGGUGGUCAGGUAGAGAAUACCAAGGCGCUUGAGAGAACUCGGGUGAAGGAACUAGGCAAAAUGGUGCCGUAACUUCGGGAGAAGGCACGCUGGUGUGUAGGUGAAGCCCCUGCGGGUGGAGCUGAGACCAGUCGAAGAUACCAGCUGGCUGCAACUGUUUAUUAAAAACACAGCACUGUGCAAACACGAAAGUGGACGUAUACGGUGUGACGCCUGCCCGGUGCCGGAAGGUUAAUUGAUGGGGUUAUCCGUAAGGAGAAGCUCUUGAUCGAAGCCCCGGUAAACGGCGGCCGUAACUAUAACGGUCCUAAGGUAGCGAAAUUCCUUGUCGGGUAAGUUCCGACCUGCACGAAUGGCGUAAUGAUGGCCAGGCUGUCUCCACCCGAGACUCAGUGAAAUUGAACUCGCUGUGAAGAUGCAGUGUACCCGCGGCAAGACGGAAAGACCCCGUGAACCUUUACUAUAGCUUGACACUGAACAUUGAGCCUUGAUGUGUAGGAUAGGUGGGAGGCUUUGAAGCGUGGACGCCAGUCUGCGUGGAGCCAACCUUGAAAUACCACCCUUUAAUGUUUGAUGUUCUAACGUUGGCCCCUUACCGGGGUUGCGGACAGUGUCUGGUGGGUAGUUUGACUGGGGCGGUCUCCUCCCAAAGCGUAACGGAGGAGCACGAAGGUUAGCUAAUCCUGGUCGGACAUCAGGAGGUUAGUGCAAUGGCAUAAGCUAGCUUGACUGCGAGCGUGACGGCGCGAGCAGGUGCGAAAGCAGGUCAUAGUGAUCCGGUGGUUCUGAAUGGAAGGGCCAUCGCUCAACGGAUAAAAGGUACUCCGGGGAUAACAGGCUGAUACCGCCCAAGAGUUCAUAUCGACGGCGGUGUUUGGCACCUCGAUGUCGGCUCAUCACAUCCUGGGGCUGAAGUAGGUCCCAAGGGUAUGGCUGUUCGCCAUUUAAAGUGGUACGCGAGCUGGGUUUAGAACGUCGUGAGACAGUUCGGUCCCUAUCUGCCGUGGGCGCUGGAGAAUUGAGGGGGGCUGCUCCUAGUACGAGAGGACCGGAGUGGACGCAUCACUGGUGUUCGGGUUGUCAUGCCAAUGGCACUGCCCGGUAGCUAAAUGCGGAAGAGAUAAGUGCUGAAAGCAUCUAAGCACGAAACUUGCCCCGAGAUGAGUUCUCCCUGAGACUUUAAGUCUCCUGAAGGAACGUUGAAGACGACGACGUUGAUAGGCCGGGUGUGUAAGCGCAGCGAUGCGUUGAGCUAACCGGUACUAAUGAACCGUGAGGCUUAACCUU